This 800-nucleotide long non-coding RNA is filed under the name Homo sapiens (human). Its description in RNAcentral is "non-protein coding lnc-ARHGAP32-4:1". Lineage: Eukaryota; Metazoa; Chordata; Mammalia; Primates; Hominidae. The record is from RNAcentral.
UGAGUCAGCAAGGAACCUGGGCAUGCUGCCCACAUGCCGCCACGUCUCUCUGCUUUGAUGACUGGCUGCCCAGAGGUCAGGAGGGAGAGAGCUAAGCACUUUCCACUGCAUGCUAGGAUAUAGGGCUUGCAACAUAGACCCAGCCCUACAGCCGUCACCCCAGCUGGGGCAGGCAGCUCCUAGGCGCUCUCUCCCUUAAUCAAGGGCAUCCACAGCUAAAGCAGCCUUUCAGGAGGUGACAGGCCCAAGACAAGCAAGUCUUUGUCAAAUGCUUGCGAUGACAAGGCCAAUGGUAACUGUGGGAGGGAGGGAGACGGGUAGAUCUCUUCGCCCGCAGUUUACUGGGCUGCUGGAAGGUUUUCUCUCCCUACUCUCCCUGCCUUCUCUCUUUUCCCUUCUCCCCAGUCUCCCUCUUCCCUCAAAAGGGUUUUACUUUAGCUUAAUGGUGGGGGUUCCGAAGAGGGUAUUGGCAACUCCUGGGGCGGGUCUGGUGGCUCUGCCAUCUCUAAGGGGACAUCACGUGCUUUCGGUUCCUGUGCUUCACAGAGCUCCUCCUGCCCCUGAGAGGGCUCCAGCUGCUCCUGACCCUGGGCCUGGCUGUUCAUCUUCUCUUCAGCUUCAAUCUCUUCUGAUGUGGGGAUGGAGUUCUUCUUGGGGCGACCUUUGGGUUUUGUGGGUGCUUCCUGUCCACCUUUAAGAACCUACGGUGACAGUGAGGGUGACCAACAGAUAAUGUGUAUGAAAGGACCAGAACGGCACCUGAAUGGUAGGUUUCCUUUGCCCAGAAUAUAUAUACCAUC